This 429-nucleotide ribosomal RNA is filed under the name Verrucomicrobiota bacterium. RNAcentral describes it as "Verrucomicrobia bacterium partial 16S ribosomal RNA". It matches the Rfam family "Bacterial small subunit ribosomal RNA", at positions 355 to 776 of the family's 1533-position model. The record is from RNAcentral. Lineage: Bacteria; Pseudomonadati; Verrucomicrobiota.
UAGGGAAUCUUCCGCAAUGGACGAAAGUCUGACGGAGCAACGCCGCGUGAGUGAAGAAGGAUUUCGGUUCGUAAAACUCUGUUGUUAGGGAAGAAAAAAUGUAUAGUAACUAUAUACAAAAGAGACGGUACCUAACCAGAAAGCCACGGCUAACUACGUGCCAGCAGCCGCGGUAAUACGUAGGUGGCAAGCGUUGUCCGGAAUUAUUGGGCGUAAAGCGCGCGCAGGUGGUUUAGAAAGUCUGAUGUGAAAGCCCACGGCUCAACCGUGGAGGGUCAUUGGAAACUAAUAAACUUGAGUGCAGGAGAGAAAAGUGGAAUUCCUAGUGUAGCGGUGAAAUGCGUAGAGAUUAGGAGGAACACCGGUGGCGAAAGCGGCUUUUUGGCCUGCAACUGACACUGAGGGGCGAAAGCGUGGGGAGCAAACAGG